GGAUGUAGCUCAGUGGUAAAGUGCUUGCCUGGCAUGUGUGAGGCACUGGGUUCAAUCCCCAGCACCA
RNAcentral lists this transfer RNA (67 nucleotides) under Marmota monax (woodchuck). RNAcentral describes it as "tRNA.Ala". It matches the Rfam family "tRNA", at positions 6 to 65 of the family's 71-position model. Rfam says of the family: Transfer RNA (tRNA) molecules are approximately 80 nucleotides in length. Their secondary structure includes four short double-helical elements and three loops (D, anti-codon, and T loops). Lineage: Eukaryota; Metazoa; Chordata; Mammalia; Rodentia; Sciuridae. The record is from RNAcentral.